GGGGAGCAAACAGGAUUAGAUACCCUGGUAGUCCACGCUGUAAACGAUGUCGAUUUAGAGGUUGUGGUCUUGAACCGUGGCUUCUGGAGCUAACGCGUUAAAUCGACCGCCUGGGGAGUACGGCCGCAAGGUUAAAACUCAAAUGAAUUGACGGGGGCCCGCACAAGCGGUGGAGCAUGUGGUUUAAUUCGAUGCAACGCGAAGAACCUUACCUACUCUUGACAUCCAGCGAAUCCUUUAGAGAUAGAGGAGUGCCUUCGGGAACGCUGAGACAGGUGCUGCAU
RNAcentral lists this ribosomal RNA (284 nucleotides) under Proteus mirabilis. RNAcentral describes it as "partial 16S ribosomal RNA". It matches the Rfam family "Bacterial small subunit ribosomal RNA", at positions 763 to 1046 of the family's 1533-position model. The record is from RNAcentral. Lineage: Bacteria; Pseudomonadati; Pseudomonadota; Gammaproteobacteria; Enterobacterales; Morganellaceae.